Long non-coding RNA from Hypanus sabinus (Atlantic stingray), 878 nucleotides. RefSeq lists it as uncharacterized. Lineage: Eukaryota; Metazoa; Chordata; Chondrichthyes; Myliobatiformes; Dasyatidae. The record is from RefSeq and is a predicted model, not a curated record. The transcript has 3 exons.
CUCUUUAAGUGGUCUGAUAAUUAACAAGGAAAUGACAGCUGAUGAGACAGAAGCGAACCGCAUUAUCCUGAUUGGUCACCAAAUCCUGCCGCACACAGGUUUUGUUAGAUAUUGAAUUUUGAGAAGCUUACAGGUAUUAAGCAAUGUUUCUUGCUGAAAGAGGGGCUUGGGAGGGGGCUUCAGGAAGAAGAGAAAUGGUACAAGCAGCCAGGAGCCUAAAUUUCUAUUUUUCAGCAUUAUAUGCUUAAUGUGAAAGCAUUAUGAUUGGACCAAUAAAGAUAAAUUGUAAUAUUUAAGACUUCAGGGACUAUAUCAUCACAAUUUAAUCCAUGUUCAAAGUUAAUCCACAUUCUCUGCACCUGUUAAAAAUGGCAGGGUUUGAAUAAGGACCUAUAUGUGUAGAUUAAUCUGUGACAAAAGCUUUGGGCACAAAUCCUUUAUUUCUUCAUAAAAAUUGCAUCAAUGCAGCACACUUAUUUUAUUUCUAACUUCAGGCUAUUCUAUUUACAGCACAAGCUACAAAUUUUGUGUGAAAUAUUCAAACGACAAAUUACUGAAUAAUUGGACCUUCAUUAUAUCUGCCAGGAAAUGUGGUUGAAAACAAUUGCAGCUCCUUCUUCACUCUGUUCAGAGAGCUGGGUCAAUUUGGAGCUGCUUGAAUUCUCCAAUGCCGAAUAUCAUGCUUUUUUAAUCACUGGUCGCUUUCUUGUGAAUCCCAGGGCACCACAAAAGGUCCUUCUGAUCACCAGGCUGCGCACGCCAUCCCCUGCCUGAGUGAAGGCCAGCACCUGGACGCUGUAAUUGGUGAACUUCUCCAAGCCUCUCAGCUCUACUUGUGAGUCCAUCGUGGUGAUGUUCUGCAUCUCUCCCCAGUCUGC